RNAcentral lists this ribosomal RNA (156 nucleotides) under Vitis vinifera (wine grape). RNAcentral describes it as "5.8S ribosomal RNA". It matches the Rfam family "5.8S ribosomal RNA". Rfam says of the family: 5.8S ribosomal RNA (5.8S rRNA) is a component of the large subunit of the eukaryotic ribosome. It is transcribed by RNA polymerase I as part of the 45S precursor that also contains 18S and 28S rRNA. Lineage: Eukaryota; Viridiplantae; Streptophyta; Magnoliopsida; Vitales; Vitaceae. The record is from Rfam by way of RNAcentral.
AACUCUCGGCAACGGAUAUCUAGGUUCUUGCAUCGAUGAAGAAUGUAGCGAAAUACGAUACUUGGUGUGAAUUGCAUAAUCCCGUGAAUCAUUGAGUCUUUGAACGCAAGUUGCGCUCAAAGCCAUUAGGUUGAGGGCACGCUUGCCUAGGCGUCA